ACCAAGUGUUCUUGAAAUUGCGGCAAUACUCCAGGGGUACAGAAGGAGAGUGGAAACAGAAUUAAAAAGGAAAUAAAUUAUGAAGAUUUGUCAUACUUUUCCAACCCAUUUCCUGAAGUUUCUAUGUAUGAAAACAUCAUCUUCACCUUUUGGCCGGUGCCAUGUCAUCCAGACUGAGGAAGAUCCAGCAACUCCAGGGUCUUUGACCUCUCCAAAUGAACUAUCAAGUCAAGAUUUGUUUAUGUCUACAAUAUAACUGCCCCAUGUGGGCUGGGUUCUCAUGGAAGCUAUAGACAGAGAUUAGAAUCUGAC
Long non-coding RNA from Onychomys torridus (southern grasshopper mouse), 312 nucleotides. RefSeq lists it as uncharacterized. NCBI's taxonomy places the organism in Eukaryota, Metazoa, Chordata, Mammalia, Rodentia, Cricetidae. The record is from RefSeq and is a predicted model, not a curated record. The transcript is spliced from 3 exons.